Molecule: ribosomal RNA, 562 nt
Filed under: uncultured bacterium
Lineage: Bacteria
Description: bacterial SSU rRNA
Rfam family: Bacterial small subunit ribosomal RNA
Source: RNAcentral
CCUACGGGAGGCAGCAGUGGGGAAUUUUGCACAAUGGGCGGAAGCCUGAUGCAGCGACGCCGCGUGGAGGAUGAAGGCCUUCGGGUUGUAAACUCCUUUUGUAGGGGACGAUGGUGACGGUACUCUACGAAUAAGCCACGGCUAACUCUGUGCCAGCAGCCGCGGUAAGACAGAGGUGGCGAGCGUUGUCCGGAAUUAUUGGGCGUAAAGCGCGCGCAGGCGGUCCUUUAAGUCUGGUGUGAAAGCCCACGGCUCAACCGUGGAGGGUCAUUGGAAACUGGGGGACUUGAGUGCAGAAGAGGAAAGCGGAAUUCCACGUGUAGCGGUGAAAUGCGUAGAGAUGUGGAGGAACACCAGUGGCGAAGGCGGCUUUCUGGUCUGUAACUGACGCUGAGGCGCGAAAGCGUGGGGAGCAAACAGGAUUAGAUACCCUGGUAGUCCACGCCGUAAACGAUGAGUGCUAAGUGUUAGAGGGUUUCCGCCCUUUAGUGCUGCAGCAAACGCAUUAAGCACUCCGCCUGGGGAGUACGGCCGCAAGGCUGAAACUCAAAGGAAUUGACGG